Molecule: transfer RNA, 54 nt
Filed under: Allonychiurus kimi
Lineage: Eukaryota; Metazoa; Arthropoda; Collembola; Poduromorpha; Onychiuridae
Description: tRNA-Cys
Source: RNAcentral
AGUAAAGGAUCGAAGAUUGCAAAUCUUUAAAUGAAUAAACUAUUCCCUUUAUUA